UUCAAUAUCUUCAUGGUCUUGC
This 22-nucleotide non-coding RNA is filed under the name Arabidopsis thaliana (thale cress). Lineage: Eukaryota; Viridiplantae; Streptophyta; Magnoliopsida; Brassicales; Brassicaceae. The record is from RNAcentral.